This 225-nucleotide unclassified non-coding RNA is filed under the name Hevea brasiliensis (rubber tree). Lineage: Eukaryota; Viridiplantae; Streptophyta; Magnoliopsida; Malpighiales; Euphorbiaceae. The record is from RNAcentral.
UGUCUGAAACUUCUGUUGAGAUUGAUGGGAAUGCCGAUUCUGUGAUAGCUGCUUCUUAUGUUGGUCAGUUUGCAAAACUGCUGGAGAUUGGAGAUGCAUUUAUUAUGCAAUCUCUUAGUGAUGAAGAUUAUUCCCGUUAUGCUCUGGCUGAAGGAAAGAGAUUGCAGGACUCUUAUGAAAUUAUUGCUCUCCUAAAAAAAUCUUUUGAAGCAUACAACAAUGAUA